UGCGUAGGCGGGGCAAUUAGUCAGUGGUGAAAUCCUGCGGCUUAACCGUAGAAUUGCCAUUGAUACUGUUGCCCUUGAGUAUAGUUGAAGUGGGCGGAAUAUGUAAUGUAGCGGUGAAAUGCAUAGAGAUUACAUAGAACACCAAUUGCGAAGGCAGCUCACUAAGCUAUCACUGACGCUAAUGGACGAAAGCGUGGGGAGCGAACAGGAUUAGAUACCCUGGUAGUCC
Molecule: ribosomal RNA, 229 nt
Filed under: uncultured bacterium
Lineage: Bacteria
Description: partial 16S ribosomal RNA
Rfam family: Bacterial small subunit ribosomal RNA
Source: RNAcentral